Long non-coding RNA from Oreochromis niloticus (Nile tilapia), 3664 nucleotides. RefSeq lists it as uncharacterized. The record is from RefSeq and is a predicted model, not a curated record. Lineage: Eukaryota; Metazoa; Chordata; Actinopteri; Cichliformes; Cichlidae. The transcript is spliced from 3 exons.
CCCCUGCUCCCACCUCCAAGCAUGGAGGAGGAGGUGUGCUGGUGACACUGUCGGGGAUUUAUUCAAAAUUGAAGGCACACUGAAACAGCAUGGCUACCACAGCAUCCUGCAGCGACACACUGUCCCAUCCAGUUUGCUUUUAGUUGGACCAUGAUUUAUUUUUCAACAGGACAGUGACCCCAAACACACCUUCAGGCUGUGUAAGGGCUAUUUGACUGAGAAGGAGAGUGAUGGAGUCCUGUCUCCGCAGUCAUGAGAUGGUUUGGGAUGAGAUGGACCACAGAGUGAAGGCAAAAGGGGCCAACAAGUGGCUCAGCAUCUCAAGCUCAGCAUCUCUGGGAACUCCAUUUCAGGUGACGACCUCAUGAAGCCCAUUGAGAGAAUCCCAAGAGUGUGCAAAGCAGUAAUCGAAGCAAAGGAUGGCUAUUUUGGAGAAAAUAUAAAACACAUUUUGGGUUAUUUCACACUUUUUUUUAAUUACAUAUUUCCCAGAUUUUGUAGCUGCUGCUUUACCUAACGAAGUAGAGAUGGCUUACCGUGACAAGAAAAUGUAGCUCAGGCAAGACUGGAUGAGCACCGUAUUAGGCGAUCACUGGAACAGCAGCACACAGAACUGUAAACAGAUCUUUAAAUCCGAAAGUAACAAGUUUAAGAAAUGCUUUAACCAUACUGGAGGCACGUCAGAAAAAAUGUUUUUCCUGGCUUGAUGUCAAACAGUUGUAGCUAUACAGGUUUUUACAGAAGCACAAAGUGACAAUCUGCGCACAUAUUAAAGAAUACUUUCUCUAUUUUAAUCUCUAAUGGAUGAGUGCUCUGGGAUAUUUUACUCCUUUACUCUACUAGUCUCUAGGUUGUCCACGUAGUUCAGCAGAGGGAUGGUUGUGAAUGGGAUGAUGACCGGGGACAUUAUUGGUUAUUAACACUACGGUUAUGAUGGAGAAGACUUUAUAUCUUUGGACCUGAAGACUCUAACAUGGAUUACUCCAGUGCCACAGACUGUUGUCACAAACCCACAUAGCAAACAGGUCUGGCCCAGAUUUUUUUCAGAUUUGCCAGUAGUUAUUAACCCACUAAACACACAAUAUUGAACAAUGAAAUCCUAUCUUGAUCAUAUAAACACAAAUCUUUUAUUUUCAUCCUGUCAGUCUCUCUGUAUCGCCAGUUCUUUCCUCAGUGGCUCUCCUCCAGAAGACUCCUUCCUCUCCAGUGAGCUGCCACACUACAGUUUUCUAGCCGAACAGGGUCGUGAUGUUUUGGAGGAAAGAUGGAGAAGGAGAGAUCAUCACGAACCAUGACGGGACCUUCCAGACGAGUGUCGAUCUGAAUGUUUCAUCAGUCACAGCUGAAGACUGGAGGAGAUAAAACUGUGUUCCAGCUCUCUAAUGACAGCAUCAUCACCAAACCUGACAAAGGAAUGAUCAGAACAAACCGAGCUCUUCACGACACAACUGAAGGCAAAUGGACACUAUAGCCUGUAUGCCAAUAAUUAAUAGAUGCUGAGAUACAAACUGUGUACACUUCUUGUUAAACAACUUUCAUAGUUUAUUUGUCAAACUUACAUGUCGUGUUUGGAUAUUAUAUAUCUACUUUUUAGCUUUUUUAUGGACAUCUUAUCACCACUCACACAUCACAAACACAAUCUUCUAAUAUCUGUUUACGUCCCACCGUCAUCUUUGAAGAAGGAAACUGUAAAUGGUUAAAGAGUCAGCAUUCAUCUGUAAUGAGUCAUUCACAUGUGAACAAUGACUCAGUGGGGAUGUUUCCGUCGGCUGCCUCUGGCUUUAUUCCAGCUUUGCUACAUUUUUAAAACAGCAUCCAUUUGUUUUCUAUUGAACAACGACAUCUACAGAUUUUUUUGAAAUUUACUUCAAACGUGUAAUUUUCACUUUUGGACUUUUGGAGUCACUGUUUUCUGAUGUUUAGGUACACUGAAAUUUUAAACUUGCUGUGUGGAUUUCUUAUACUUCUUUUUUACUGACUUCCUGAUUGUAUUUUUAAAUCUUAUCUUGUUCUAAUAUGAUACAUAAUCAACUGGUGAAAAUAGAUGUCAUGAACAGAAACACAUACACACUAAAUGUGUGAGGAUGAAUGAAACCUGUAACAAACGCAUGCAUACCAACAGUUUUCAUUUCGGUGAAUCCUCAGGCUCAGUGUGUGUUUUUCCAUGUUACCACCAGAGGGCAACACAAAUCGACAUCUCUGCCAUAAGGAAAGUCCAAACAGAGGAAACAGGCUGUCAGUGUGUUUCCACACCUCUGGCUUUUCAGAGGGUUUAUUUUUUUAAGGAAAAUGUUAAAUUUGGCAGUGAGAUUAUACCUAUCAGAGGAAAGGUAGCUUCAGUCUUGUCAUUGUCAGAAUAAUGAUCCAGUAAAAUAAUAAGCAGUUAUUCAUAUACAGUGGCUUUCAAAAGUAUUCGGCCCCCUUGAACUUUUCCACAUUUUGUCACAUUACAGCCACAAACAUGAAUCAAUUUUAUUGAAAGACCAAUACAAAGUGGUGUACACGUGAGAAGUGGAACGAAAAUCAUACAUGAUUCCAAACAUUUUUUACAAAUAAAUAACUGCAAAGUUCAAAAGUUCAGAUCAACACUCAUCUGAAAGUUAGGUUUCAAAAGCAGUAAUGAUUUGACAAACAUUGCUAGAUUCGAUUCACUCAAGAAUGCAUUUGUGUACAAAAGUCCUCAUUGCUAUUUGAAAAGGUUGGAAGUCACAAACAUGCAUUAUCAUGUGUGUUAUAGUGUAUCAUCAUAAUACAACUCAAUUGGCACUUGGUGGUCAAAACAGAAGCUCUUGUUAUCUUCUUUGUAUAAUUAUGACUGGAUUCUUUGUAAAGUUACAUUCAGUGCCAUCCUGCAUUAAUAAGAGUGCGAUUUCACCAUGUUGAACUGCUCUGGUCUAAAAACAAAGGGUGCAAAUAUUUUCUAACUUCAUGCAUAAUUUUAUGUAAAUGGCAAUAAUUCAACAGUGACCCACAGGUUCUUGCAAACUGGUAAUUAUUUUAAAAGGAUUAAUCUAGAUAAAAGUAUAAACUUAAAUAUAGUGUUACAUCUUUAGUACUUAGAAACAACUUCCUUGAUGCUCCCCGAAGGGAGGGAGUAUGUAAUCUGUUCUGUUUGUCUGUCUGGUCACACCAUAUGUGAAAAUCAGUAAAAACUUUAUAUUACGCACAAUUUUGAUGGAUCGUGUUCAUGUUAUCCCUGAAAACAGGGGGAAAGAAUCACGGGAGUGAUUUUGACUUGCUUCUCUCAUGCAGUUGUUUAUUGCAAUGAAAAUGAACAUAAAUAUUUCACAUCCUGUACUGCUCAAUGUCACAGAGUGGAAGGAAAAGCUAAAUAAUAAACCAAAAUACUAAAGUGGUUACUAAACAUAUAUCGGAACAUGUUUCCUCACCAAAUGGAUAAUAAUAGCAACAUUUCUAGCUCCUGCCGUUAGCUCAAUGGCCGUUAUACAAUACAAAACUGAGGCUCAAAACUGCCGUGACUAUGUGCACAAAACAAACUGUAAUGCUUCUAAAGCUUACAAAACAAUGAAGAGUUACAUCUUGAUGCAUGCUCAAUCAUCCAGCAAAUCCAGCAGCAGCAAUGAGAAUGAGAACAACAAAAACAACGACUGCAGCGAUGGUGAUGAACAGCAUGUCAGAGGACGUCUCUGCUCAGUAAAGAAAA